UGGAUACAAGUGCAUGCCAUCAUCAAAAAGCAGAAGUGCCUGUAAAGACAGGAAGAUCUCCUAAGUGAGAACAUGGAGCUAGACAACAUUUAUACCAAUCUGGAAAACUUGUGUCAUGACCAACUGGAACUAGACAUGAAACAGCAAAACCUAAAAUCAGAACAUGGUGCUCAAUCAACAGAGCCUGUCCAAGGAAAAUGGUCACCUCUGGUCAUCUGCAUUCUCCUGGGUCUCUCCAUCCUGCUGUCCAUGGGGAUGCUUACUGCUGCAGUGAUACUGUGUAAGCGUUGUGUCAUUUUGAACUGUGUUGGGGUAGGGGUAGCGUUAGUGUUAUGUGAAUAAUCCAAUGACAAUUGACAAAUGUAAUUUUCAGUUGUGCAUUAAUUAAA
Molecule: non-coding RNA, 389 nt
Organism: Chiloscyllium plagiosum (whitespotted bambooshark)
Lineage: Eukaryota; Metazoa; Chordata; Chondrichthyes; Orectolobiformes; Hemiscylliidae
Source: RefSeq, a predicted model, not a curated record